Long non-coding RNA from Eptesicus fuscus (big brown bat), 511 nucleotides. RefSeq lists it as uncharacterized. NCBI's taxonomy places the organism in Eukaryota, Metazoa, Chordata, Mammalia, Chiroptera, Vespertilionidae. The record is from RefSeq and is a predicted model, not a curated record. The transcript has 3 exons.
CUGCAGACUCUCCUCUUCUGCCUGUGGGCUGGAUCCGCUUGCUAAUCUGAGGGAGGAGCUGGAGAUGAAGCUGGGCCAGACCCCUUCCUCAGUGUCACCAAGGAGAGAAUAGGUGACAUGUGACUGUCAGUCCUUGCACUAAGCUGAUGUCAGGAUGGAGCAGACCCUCCAUACUUCAGAGGAGGCUGGUGAUGGAUGUGCUGCCCCUACUGGACUGGCUCCACAGUCUGUCUUCCCACCACUGAGUGGCAGAGGUGAGAGCCCACUGUGUCAGUCUGUGGAGCAUAUGAAGUUCACACCUCACUUCUGUCUCCUCAGCUCUGGAGGUGACCUCAGCACCAGCGUGCGCAGCACCUAUGCUAGCCUCUGGGGUGUGCUCUGUGUUGGCCCAGCUCACCCACAGCUCCUCUCCCCCUGCAUCUCAGCCACCUUCCAGGUCCUACUGCUAGAAGCUCUGGUACUCUCGGAACCUUAGACUCCUCUCCCCCCAUGAGCUGUAUUGAAGCUUCAU